CCUCCUCCAUGGGGUGACGGUCUACACAGGCAGUGCAAGGAUGGGGUGGAGGUCACAAAGACCUGGGUGGAGCCGGGCUAACAAAAAUUCAGUUGGUCUCUUUCAAAAACCUGCGGAGAGUCUCAGUCUCUUAAUGAAAUUUGCGUAAUAAAAGCUCCAGCAGCGUAACAAUAGUUGGAUUCUUCUUCUGAAAUUCACAGAACUUGCGGAUCUGCUCUGCUCAACUCUGUGGGGGAUGGAGUGUUGCUAGGAGGAGCCAGAAUACAAGGAUAACUUGGAGCACAGUUUGGAAAAGUGGAGAAAAAGGUCCCGCUGGAGUUUCAGAGAAGCAUCCCUGCAUUUUCCACCCUGGCCAGACCCGCCUGUCUGGGGACACCGGGCCAGCACCCACAGCUCUGAUUUCCUCUGGGCCGGUACAAGCCCCUCCUAGGGGACCUUUACCUCUGCCCUUUACUCGGAGGCCAUGGAUUUUAUCUUCUCUGCACCAUGAAAAGCAGGCUCCUAGGCAAUGUUUUUUGGGGAGCAAUAAAGAAUAGAGACUUGGCCAGGCGCGGUGGCUCACGCCUGUAAUCCCAGCACUUUGGGAGGCCAAGGCGAGUGGAUCACCUGAGGUUGGGAGUUCGAGACCAGCCUGACCAACAGGGAGAAACCCCGUCUCUACUAAAAAUACAAAAUUAGCCAGGUGUGGUGGCGCAUGCCUGUAAUCCAAGCUACUCGGGAGGCUGAGGCAGGAGAAUCGCUUGAACCCCAGAGGCGGAGGUUGCAGUGAGCCAUGAUCACGCCACUGCACUCCAGCCUGGGCAACAAAAGCGAAACUCCAUCUCAAAAAAAUAAAAAAAAAUAAAAAAGAAUAGAAACCAAAAUGGAGACCAUUUCCACAGGCACACGUAAGACUCGAGGGAACCCUACCAGCCUCCAACCAGAUCCACUUGGUCUGGAGGCAAAAGCACAAGUACACGAGUGUCUGCGACUGAGAAUCCUGCAGUCCCCAGACAGCCGAGGCCCCGGCCCUCCCCACUGGGCCCCUCAUCCCCAGGCCUUGGGAACAUGCUAAUAAGGUGAGGAGGCGCCACAAAACCUCGUGGGGCCAGAAGGAGUUAAUUUAAGUUCAUCUUCCUUCAAAAUGAGGUCACUAGCUUGGCACAUGGUGGCUGUCUAUAGACUCAUUCAGCAGCCCGCUCCAUUCUUCUACCUGAUGGGGGGCAGAAGUGCCCCACCAGUGGCCCCCUGGCUGGACGUGAAAUCGUAAAGCAAUUAAUCAAACCUGCUAAAAGGCCUGGCUGACAAGAGCAGGCUGGCUGAGCUAUCUGUCAAUGUUGCUGUGUUUAUCAUGGAAAUCCAGCAGGGGCCAGGGAGGCUCUGUGUCUGUCCAGGCCAGAGGCCAAGGAAAGAUGGGCCUGGCUGCGUGGGGCUCCUCUCUCCCUUGCCCAGGCGCCCAUCUCAAGGAAAAGAGAUGUCUCACAUGGGCCCUGAGGGGUAGGGGGUGUGUGUGUGUGUGUGUGUGUGCGCGUGCGUGCGUGCGUGCGUGUGUUUAGUGCGGUGUGUGUGUGACAUAGAAAGACCCUCCCAUAUCCGAGACACUAAUUAGGCUUCUUUAGGCUGCUAUUCAAGCAUGGGACACAGACCAGUUACUGCUUCGUUCUCAUCACUGUUUUCUAGGAAUCACUCAGGAUGACUUUGUGGAGGACCAACUACGAGGGGCUGCUCUGUGAGCACCAAGGGCUCACUAUGAGAACCUGUCAUGGUGAGGCAACAAUGCUCAGUCAGGGUUUAGAGACACAAGCAAAUGAAAACUUCGCCGACAAAAUAGUUUGCAAAAGGCCAAGAAAUCUAGAUCUAGCUAAUCGUCAACCUACAGGCAUCAACUAGCUGCAGUCUCACAGCGGUCAGGCUGACGGCCUGGGUAGUGUGGGACUUCUGGCAGCAUCUGGUGCAGCCUGCAAUAUCCCCAAACACUCACCAGCCCGCACACCUGCCGGCAAAUGAACACGAACCCAUACCAACUCUGAGUGGUUCAGUCUAAAAGACAACACGGUUUCUUGCAUUUUGCAAGAGCAUAAGCCCACAGUGUCUGUGAGCAGGGACGAGGGCAGCUCCUGGGAGGUGAGUGUCGGGGGGCUCCCACCUGCCCAGCUCUGGAGGUCUCUGCUGGUGAAGCAUCCCCAAGUCCUGCCUAUCCAAUACGAGCGCCCCUCAAGCAGCUAAGGGGUAUUUGGUGAUCAAAGAAAUUUGAGAAACUCUGGAGAGACGACUGUUUUCUCCACAUGCUGUCAAAUACCUAAUGAAGGCAAAUACGAAACCCAGUGACAACGGGAGUCCCCCGCUGGCAGCGAGGCCUGGCUCAGAGCCCCACGGAAGCCGAGCCCUGCUGCUACACUGGGAAGGCCCCACAGCCUCGGCCCUGGUCUCAGUAGCCUUUCUGGGUCCCAGGGCUAGCCAAGAUGAACUGCUGCCAAUGGCUGAGAAAUGUGGCUGCUCUCUCCUGGUUCUCAGUGAAGGACAGGAAGGAGCUACAGUAGCCAUGAAUGAGGGUUUCUUCCUAAUGUUCUCCAAAAUGCCCAGAAAAAACUAACACAUCAAUGUUUAUUUCCCUCCACAGAGAGUCCGUGACUCACGGUAAAUAUGCAGAAAGGAUAAAAACCAUUUUCACAUGUUACGCGGAUCAAGACCAAAUACUCAAACCUGGUAAGGGAAACAAGUGACACACUGUCGAGAAGGAAUUUUCACUGAGGAUACUGUCUCAACCGUCCCUCUAAGUUCCUUGGAGGUGAGUUAAUUACCAAUCAGUCGAUUGACAAAUGCCCCCCAUCUUGCGCAAGGUAUCUUUUCACCAAGCUAAGCUGCCCUCAACAGGCAGGGAGUUUUACUGCUGUCUCUUCAUACUCACCAGAAAUAAUACACUUUGCUCCUCACAACAGGCCCGUCAGCAGCCUCAGAGAACCAUGCCAAGCAGGGUUUCGGCAGAAGGUGGCUACUGCCUCCAGACCGGGCAGCCCCAGCCUGCAGCAGCAAAGGGACCUCACCAAAGGUUCUGGAGGUCCCGUGACCUGCCUUCCCUCAAGCCAAACAGCUGAGGGGGGAUGUGAAACCCCAGCUGCCUCUUACCUUUGCCUAUGACGAGGCCACACUUAUCGGCUGGCACCGUGUAUGUUAUCUCCUGGACGCCACCAGGGGCUCCCACGCUCCAGUCGCCACGGCCACGACCUCUUCCUCUGGCUGCUGCCAGGCCUCCAAAGCCGUCUCUUUCCUGGAAAGAUCACAGGGCUGUAGCGACCUCUGCCACUGCCACAGCACCACUGCUCCUCUCUUUUCCAGGGAGGAGGUUAAGUGACAGGAUGUAAUCAAUGCCACCCAUCAGAACCUAGCACCUUUCCACACUUCCCAUUCUGAAGGGCUCUUUCAAGCCAGAAUUAACACCGAUCACAGGUGUAUCUGGGGAGGACCUGUGCAGACGAACACACGUGGUUACAUAAACAGCUCAAAUGUAUCCAACAGAAAUAGGCAGACACAAACUCCAAGGCUGAAGCCCAGCGGCCUUUCUCCCUGGAGCUUUCCUCACUGGGCCCCGAUCUACAGGCAUCAAGAACUGCUUUCUCCCUUGCAGCUGAGGCCCCUCUUUCCUGCGGCGGACACAUACUGGGCCUAUGGGAAGUCAGAUAUGCACAGCCUGCUGACCCUCCCCAACCAGGCACUGCUAUGAGUCACAACACCUGGCACUCCAGUCAGCAAGAAGGAUAAACGGAUUUUACUCAGUUUUAGAAAACUUCUUGGCUGUUGUGCCCCCAAGCAGCAGCAGCAGUAACAGGUUCAAGAGUGACCAUUCAGGGAUACUUCAGAAGGGAGGAACAGAGGGAACCUGCCAAGGCCUCCUCCCCAUGUGGGGCUGGAGAAGUCUCUGAGGCAUUCUCCCACUGUUCACCCAGCAGAGAGAAAAACCUAAAUCUAACAGCGGACAGAGGAAGAGCCCUUUCAUUGAGACAGCAGCAAGUCUCAUUCCAGCCGCUGUCCGCGGAGUCAUUUUGGAGCUGCAGUAUUUAAACUCUCUUAAAUGUGGAGGGUGAACCUGGUCAAGCUAAGAGCUAUUUCAUGGAAGGGAGAAGCUGCACAGACUUUUCAACACAUGAAGAAAUGUUGGGCAAAACCUGCUCAUGUUGAUUAAGAGUAAAGUGAACGUUUACCCAGAAUCUAAACCAGCAGAAAGCUGAGACAAUUGGAGUGCUUUUCCCCCGCACUCUGCUCUUAUGAGACAACUGCCAAGUAAACAAGGCAAUUUUAGAAUGGAUGUUCACACACGCACAGGAGCGCACAGUCAACUUUCUGGGUAUGCCACAGAUCUCGAAGAAAAGGUUUUCUCCCAAACAUCUCGCAGCCUCUGCAGUGCAAGGUUCAUAAACUUUUUUUGAGACAGAGUUUUGCUCUUGUUGCCCAGGCGGGAAUGCAAUGGCAGGAUCCUGGCUCACUGCAACCUCCGCUUCCUGGGUUUAAGCAAUUCUCCUGCCUCAGCCUCCUGAGUAGCUGAAACUAUAGGCAUGCGCCACCACGCCCGGCUAAUUUUGUAUUUUUAGUAGGGACGGGUCUCACCAUGUUGGUCUUGAACUCCUGACCUCAGGUGAUCCACCUGCCUUGGCAUCCCAAAGUGCUAGGAUUACAGGCGUGAGCCACCACGUCCAGCUAAUUUUGUAUUUUCAGCAGAGACAGGGUUUCACCAUGUUGGUCAGGCUGGUCUCGAACUCCUGACCUCAGGUGAUCCGCUUGCCUCGGCCUCCCAAAAUGCUGGGUACAAGAGUGAGCCACCGUGCCUGGCCAAGGUUCAUAAACUCUUGCUACAAAAAAAGGAUGUUAGAGAUCAUUUAGAGCAGGGGUGUUCAAUCUUUUGGCUUCCCUGGGCCACACUGGAAGAACUGUCUUGGGCCACCCAUAAAAUACACUAACAUUAAUGAUAGCUGAUGAGCUUAAAAACACACACACACACACACACACACACACACACACACACACACAAAAUCUUGUAACAUUUUAAGAAAGUUUAUGAAUUUGUGUUGGGCUGCAUUCAAUGCUGUUCCUGGGCUGCGUGCAGCCCACAGGCUGAACGAGCUUGAUUUAGUGGCCGUUUUAUAAACUUGUCUAAUCUUAAGAAUUGCCUGGGUCUCUAGUGAAGACCCAAGACCCUCCCUUGGAAAUGCUGAUUCAGUAGAUCUGGGGUGGGGGCCUACACAUUUGUAAUUUGAGUAAGAACCACCAGAUGGCUCUUAGGGGAUCACAUAGAGAGCACUGCCUGGUGCAAAGCACCCUGAGUCUGCUGCUGGGAACACCAGACCCAGAGGUUCAAAGGCAGCUCCAAGGUCACAUGACUGAUGGCAGAGCUGGGACUAUAAUUUCCAAUCUCUUGCUUUAUUCUUCCGUUCUGGUCAUUCUCAAAUGUAUCCUCAGUCCUACCAUCAGUUAUAGGGGUUCCUAGCACUGUCACACAGGCUGGCUCACAGUCCAAAGAUGUGCAUGAAAUCAAGUGCAUGAAGGCAGCUUUAGGACUUUGGAGGACCCUGAAGUGUCUUCUACCACUAAGACUGGAUUUCACUAACACAGAUUAACAUUAAAUACACUUGAUUAUUUGAAACUUGGCGACCAAUCUCCAUGGUAUUUCCCCACAUGGUUUAAAUAGCCAGAAACUUACUGUGUAAAGGCAAUCUAGAUGGUGAGGUAAAUAAAGGCAGAAUAAUUAAUGAGCAGAAAAAAAUACCAAGAAGGCAGGAAAGAGGCUGAUGUAGAGAAACUGCUGGUUUCCCAUAAUGUGACUUGAGACGCCUCAGGGUGACAGCUCUAUGGUGCUGCACCGAGAGCCCCGGGUAGCACUUUCCACUUCUGCAGCCCAAACACUCACACUCUGCAGAGCUGGACCCACCUGGGCUGUAAGAAUCAGCUCGCUGAUGAUAUGCGCUGCAUGCUGACACCGAUCCGGAGGGCCCAUGACCUGGGCAGCUCUUUCUGGACUAAUCCCAUCAUCUGAGGAGCCAGGUGAGAGACAGGAUUAGAAAAAAGCCCAACGUUAGAAGGAAACAAGGAUUAAUCUGAUUCCCAAUCAAUAUUCUCACCCGCGGUGCCAAAAGGGGCAACAGGAAUACUGCCAGCUGCAGGGACUCUUUUGGAGUGAUGUGGGUGAUAGGAAAAUGUGUGUCAUUAUAUUGUUUUGCAUGUUUCAGGUCAAUGCUCAAUUCUUAUGCAAUUAUAGCCAUUUAAAAAAUGUAUCAUUAAAGAACUAAAACAAAGCUUGACUUUAAAAAAGCCAAGGGAGUCAGAGCAGAGCUAUGGCAACAGCUUCCAGAGAAGAGCCUGCCAUGUUUUCCUCUUUUCAGACCA
RNAcentral lists this long non-coding RNA (6354 nucleotides) under Homo sapiens (human). RNAcentral's name for it is "HSALNT0156141". The record is from RNAcentral. Lineage: Eukaryota; Metazoa; Chordata; Mammalia; Primates; Hominidae.